GACGAACGCUGGCGGCGUGCCUAACACAUGCAAGUCGAACGGAGCGAAUGAAAGCUUGCUUUUAUGAGCUUAGUGGCAAACGGGUGAGUAACACGUAGACAACCUGCCGAUAGGAUGGGGACAACAUUCCGAAAGGAAUGCUAAUACCGAAUGGCGUGUAGGGGAGGCAUCUCCCGUACAUGAAAGAUGGCCUCUGAAUAUGCUAUCACCUAUCGAUGGGUCUGCGUCUGAUUAGCUAGUAGGUAAGGUAACGGCUUACCUAGGCGACGAUCAGUAGCCGGUCUGAGAGGAUGAACGGCCACAUUGGGACUGAGACACGGCCCAGACUCCUACGGGAGGCAGCAGUGGGGAAUCUUCCGCAAUGGGCGCAAGCCUGACGGAGCAACGCCGCGUGAGUGAAGAAGGUCUUCGGAUCGUAAAGCUCUGUUGAAGGGGACGAACGUAUAUAGUGCGAAUAGUGCU
Molecule: ribosomal RNA, 462 nt
Filed under: Selenomonas sp. oral taxon E83
Lineage: Bacteria; Bacillati; Bacillota; Negativicutes; Selenomonadales; Selenomonadaceae
Description: bacterial SSU rRNA
Rfam family: Bacterial small subunit ribosomal RNA
Source: RNAcentral